This 196-nucleotide ribosomal RNA is filed under the name uncultured Saccharomycetes. Its description in RNAcentral is "partial 26S ribosomal RNA". It matches the Rfam family "Eukaryotic large subunit ribosomal RNA", at positions 62 to 261 of the family's 3401-position model. The record is from RNAcentral. Lineage: Eukaryota; Fungi; Ascomycota; Saccharomycetes.
AAACCAACAGGGAUUGCCUUAGUAGCGGCGAGUGAAGCGGCAAUAGCUCAAAUUUGAAAUCUGCCAACAGGCCGAGUUGUAAUUUGAAGAAAGCAAUUCUGGGUAUGUCUUUGCUCAAGUUCCUUGGAACAGGACAUCAUGGAGGGUGAGAAUCCCGUGAUGCGAAGGUAGCAUACCUAUGUAGAAUGUUUUCGAC